UGGUGGAGUGAUUUGUCUGGUUAAUUCCGUUAACGAACGAGACCUCAGCCUGCUAAUUAUGCCUGCGUCUUAUUUGAGACGUCGGUGCAUCUUAGAGGGACUGUCGGUGAUCAACCGACGGAAGUUGGAGGUAAUAACA
Molecule: ribosomal RNA, 139 nt
Filed under: uncultured eukaryote
Lineage: Eukaryota
Description: partial 18S ribosomal RNA
Rfam family: Eukaryotic small subunit ribosomal RNA
Source: RNAcentral